GACGAACGCUGGCGGCGUGCCUAAUACAUGCAAGUUGAGCGCUGAAGGUUGGUACUUGUACCAACUGGAUGAGCAGCAAACGGGUGAGUAACGCGUGGGGAAUCUGCCUUUGAGCGGGGGACAACAUUUGGAAACGAAUGCUAAUACCGCAUAAAAACUUUAAACACAAGUUUUAAGUUUGAAAGAUGCAAUUGCAUCACUCAAAGAUGAUCCCGCGUUGUAUUAGCUAGUUGGUGAGGUAAAGGCUCACCAAGGCGAUGAUACAUAGCCGACCUGAAAGGGUGAUCGGCCACAUUGGGACUGAGACACGGCCCAAACUCCUACGGAAGGCAGCAGUAGGGAAUCUUCGGCAAUGGACGAAAGUCUGACCGAGCAACGCCGCGUGAGUGAAGAAGGUUUUCGGAUCGUAAAACUCUGUUGGUAGAGAAGAACGUUGGUGAGAGUGGAAAGCUCAUCAAGUGACGGUAACUACCCAGAAAGGGACGGCUAACUACGUG
RNAcentral lists this ribosomal RNA (497 nucleotides) under uncultured bacterium. Its description in RNAcentral is "partial 16S ribosomal RNA". It matches the Rfam family "Bacterial small subunit ribosomal RNA", at positions 28 to 507 of the family's 1533-position model. The record is from RNAcentral.